RNAcentral lists this ribosomal RNA (449 nucleotides) under uncultured bacterium. RNAcentral describes it as "partial 16S ribosomal RNA". It matches the Rfam family "Bacterial small subunit ribosomal RNA", at positions 39 to 523 of the family's 1533-position model. The record is from RNAcentral.
GCGGCAGGCCUGGGGCAUGCAAGUCGAACGAGAAAGUGUAGCAAUACAUGAGUAGAGUGGCGCACGGGUGCGUAACACGUGGGAACAUACCUUAAAGUGGGGGAUAACAGUUGGAAACGACUGCUAAUACCGCAUAAACCCUUCGGGGGAAAGAUUUAUCGCUUUAAGAUUGGCCCGCGUUGGAUUAGCUUGGUGGUGAGGUAAUGGCUCACCAAGGCAGUGAUCCAUAGCUGGUCUGAGAGGAUGACCAGCCACACUGGGACUGAGACACGGCCCAGACUCCUACGGGAGGCAGCAGCUAGGAAUAUCGGACAAUGGGCGAAAGCCUGAUCCAGCCAUGCCGCGUGAGUGAAGAAGGCCUUCGGGUUGUAAAGCUCUUUUAGUUAUGAAGAUGAUGACUGUAGUAACAGAAAAAGCACCGGCUAACUUCGUGCCAGCCGCCGCGGUAA